RNAcentral lists this transfer RNA (71 nucleotides) under Loxodonta africana (African savanna elephant). It matches the Rfam family "tRNA". Rfam says of the family: Transfer RNA (tRNA) molecules are approximately 80 nucleotides in length. The record is from Rfam by way of RNAcentral. Lineage: Eukaryota; Metazoa; Chordata; Mammalia; Proboscidea; Elephantidae.
GCAUUGGUGGUUCUGUGGUAGAAUUCUUGCCUUCUACACGAGAGAUGUGGGUUUGAUUCCUGACCAAUACA